Molecule: long non-coding RNA, 1432 nt
Organism: Aethalodelphis obliquidens (Pacific white-sided dolphin)
Lineage: Eukaryota; Metazoa; Chordata; Mammalia; Artiodactyla; Delphinidae
Exons: 4
Source: RefSeq, a predicted model, not a curated record
UUAUAUAAUAUUGUACAGCAACUAUACUUCAAUUUUUAAAAAUUCUUCUGUUUUCAAUAAUGGCAGUAGCAAUGAAAAACAGAUUAAAUAUUUAAAGUAACUUCUCUUAGGUCACAAUAGUUGCUUGGAAGAAUAAAUUCUGAUAAUUAUAACUGUUUAAAUUCUCAUUACUUUAAUGAAACCUACUCAUAUUUAUUGAGGCAGGUGUUGAAGAAGAACAGGUGAAAUGGUUUAUAAUUUUCAAGGUUUCCAUCAGACACAUCUCCAAUAGUUCACAGCUACAAAAGAAUUCCUUAGUGGACAAAAUUUCAUUCAGUCAAAUGGCCUAUAGCUGGACCAAUGUCCCGGGGUCUCAAUUAAGAGUUGUUAUUCUUCAGGGAACAAAGCCAGGAACAACGAUCAACCUUUUGGCUCCCCUUUCCAAGUUCUUCCAAGGAAUUUUUGGAAACUGAUGUUGAUGCCCGAAGAACAACAAACAACCUCCAUUUGCAAGUGGAACAAAAAAACAGAAGCAGGUGGUCAAGUAGCUAAACUGGCAACGGUUCUAGCCAGUAGCUGGAUGGCCUGACUUCAGUCUUGGCCAAGGUCACCAGUGACUCCCCAAUGCACAGCUGUACAGUGGCCAGUCCUUCCUUUACAAGAAAAUGCUUGUGCACCGCACUGAGAAGCCCGUGCACCACAACAAAGAGUAGCCCCCGCUCGCCGCAACUAGAGAAAGCCCGCGCGCAGCAACAAAGACCCAACUCAGCCAUAAAUAAAUAAAUACAUAAAUAAAUACAUAAGUAUAAAUUUUAGAAAAAUGCCUGUGAAAGACAAGAAAAGGCAUGGCUAAGAAAACACACACCUGAACAUAGAAUCUGCUAGUGUCAUAAUGGCCAUUAGAAGAUCAGCCCAUUGAUUUAAAAUGCUCAUGGCAAAAGAAGGAACAGCAAAGAUGCACAGCAAUUCUUGGUGGGGAUGGGUAAUUUAUAUUCAAGGAAUUUAUUUUAAGAUAUCAAUCAUCAAAACUGUCCCUCUGUCCAUCCCUCACUCUUUGAUCAUCCUUUAUACAGUUCAUAGUUCCUUUUACGUGACUCUAGGACUUUGUACUGUUGCCUUGAUCGCUGGUUCACACAUACCUGAGCAAACUUAAGAAAUUCCAUUACCACACUCUGGGCCUUGAUAGUUUCUUCAGGAAAAAAAAAAAAAAAAAGAGGUACAAUUGACCUUUGAACAACAGGGCUUUGAACUUCACUGGUCCACACAUGUGCAGAUUUUUUUCAAAUACUGCAGUACCAUAGGGUCUGCAGUUGAUUGAAUGAAUCAGCAAAUUCCGAAUUGCAGAUAUGGAGGGCCAGUUAUAAAUUAUACUUGGAUUUCUGAUUGCACAGAGGGUCGGCACCCCUAACUCCUGCAUUGUUCAAGGGUCAGCUAUGUAAUUUCACUUAACCCA